Molecule: ribosomal RNA, 651 nt
Filed under: Sarcogyne pruinosa
Lineage: Eukaryota; Fungi; Ascomycota; Lecanoromycetes; Acarosporales; Acarosporaceae
Description: SSU rRNA
Rfam family: Bacterial small subunit ribosomal RNA
Source: RNAcentral
AGCUAGUUGUAUUAACUAUUAGUUAAUACAAGAUCGACUAUGUCGACUAAAGUUCUAGGUAGAAUAAUGAUGAUGACAAUUUUCUACCUAUAUGUCUUGACCAAAUCUCGUGCCAGCAGUCGCGGUAAUACGUGAAAGACUAGUGUUAUUCAUCUUUAAUAGGUUUAAAGGGUACCUAGACGGUUUAUCUAGCCCAAAACAGGGUACGGAUUUUCUAGAGUUUUAUGUGAGGAGGGGAGUACUCAUAGAGUAAAGAUGAAAUUUUGUGAUACUAUGGGGAAACUGGUGGCGGCGAAAGCAACCUUCUAUGUAUAAACUGACGUUGAGGGACGAAGGCUUGGGUAGCAAAUAGGAUUAGAUACCCUAGUAGUCCAAGCAGACAAUUCUGAAUGCCAUAGAUUAGAUUUUUUUUUUGGUCUAUAAAUGAAAGUGUAAGCAUUCCACCUUAGGAGUAAUGUGGCAACACAGGAACUGAAAUCAUUAAACCGUUUCUGAAACCAGUAGUGAAGUAUGUUAUUUAAUUUGUUAGUCCUCAAAAAACCUUACCACAACUUGAAUAUUAUUUAAUUAAUACAAGCGUUGCACGGCUGUCUUCAGUUAAUGUCGUGAGAUUUUGGUUAACUCCCUCAAUUAACGUAAACCCUUACUUUA